UAUUGAGAUGCAAGGGGGUCCUAUUUGCUAUUCAGAGGAUGAGGGUGAAUUUGGAGUUUCAUGUGAUCCAACAAAGGAAUUUUCUCCAGUUCCUCUAUGUUCUGUUUUCCCUGAUGAGAUUAAGGAGUGUGUGGGUGUGUCUUGUGAUGGUUUUGAGGAACAAUUUAGAGCUUUAUUGAUUACAAUUGAAGCUGGUCAACCUUCGUUGGCCAGAUCUGUCUUAAAGAAGGAGAGGGAAUUGAAAAGGUUGUCAUGCUCGCUAAACUAUGUUGGGAAGGGAGGAAGUGUAGUUAGGAAUAAGGGAAAGGAAAGGGCUGGGAUAGACUCCAGAUGAAGCCAAAGAUUAUUUCUUGGAAUGUAAGGGUUCUUAAUGACCUUCAAAAGCGUCUUCGGGUGAAAAAUUGGUUCAGAAAAUGGAGGGUCAAUGUGAUUUGCCUUCAAGAAACUAAACUGAAAUUUGUGAAUCAAGCUAUUGUUCAUAGUUUGUGGAAUUGUAGUACUGUGUGUUGGGCAGAGUUGGUGUCUAAUGGGGCUUCGGGUGGGAUUAUAAUAAUGUGGAAUAGGAGGGUGGUCGAGUUGAGGGAUCAUUUUGUGGGGGAAUUCUUGGUGGCAUGUCAUUUUAAGAAUAUUGAGGAUGGGUUUGAAUGGGUGUUUGCUGGAGUGUAUGACCCUAAUGUGGAUAGUAGUAGGAGUUUGUUAUGGCAUGAAAUGUCGGGUGUAUGUGGUUGGUGGAAUUUACGUUGGUGUUUUGGUGGGGAUUUUAAUCUCACUCGUUUCGCUAGUGAGAGAUUGGGGGAAUCAUAUUUUUCACAUGCAAUGUCAACUUUUUCAGAUUUAAUUUUUUAUUUAAAUCUGAUUGAUUUACCUUUGGUGGGAGGAGAUUAUGCUUGGUCUAAUGGUAGGUCAUUUUCAAGGCUGGAUAGGUUUCUGGUUUCGCCUUCUUGAGAGGCUCAUUUUUCUGGUUUGAGUCAGAAAUUAUUGCCGAGAUUGUGUUCUGAUCAUUAUCCUAUCAUGUUGGAUUUUGGUGGAAUUCCUAUAAUUUUUCUGGCAUUCCUAGUUUUGUCUUGGCUGGAAAAUUGAAAUCUCUUAAGAAAGAUAUAAAGAGAUGGAAUAAAGAGGAGUUUGGGAAUUUGGAUAGCAAGAGGAAGCUUCUUUUGGAAGAGUUGGGAGGCUUGGAUGAGAAGGAGGUGCAAGGGGUGAUAUCGGGGGAGGACGGUAUAAGAAAAGUAGGGGUAGUUUCCGAACUGGAAAAUAUUGCGUUAAUGGAGGAAAUUUUGUGGAGGCAAAAAUCUAGGGCUGUGGUUGAAGGAAGCAGAUAGGUGCACUAAAUUCUUUCAUCAAAUGGCAAACUCUCAUAAAAGAAAUAAUGUGAUUGAGGUUCUUCGAGAUGGGGACAGGCUUAUCAUGGAUGAAGAAGACAUUAAGGCUCACAUAGUGAAUUUUUAUGAGCAGCUGUUUUCAGAAGAUUUUUCUUUGGAGACCAAAACUGGACAGACUUGGUUUCGACUCUAUAGAUCAGGUCGAAGCUGAUUGGUUGGAGAGAGAGUGUGAAGAAGAAGAAGUACUUAAUGUGGUUAAAGGUAUGGAUAGGGAUAUGGCUCCGGGUCUGGAUGGGUUCUCUCUGGUGUUUUUUCAAGCAUGCUCGGGCAUAGUUAGAGAAGAUAUUCUGAAGGUGUUUGCUGAGUUUCAUUCGUAUAUGAGGUUUGAGAAGAGUUUUAAUACGACUUUCAUUGCACUUAUUCCGAAAGAGGUAGUGGCUGUUGAGAUGAGAGAUUUUCGGCCUAUUAAUUUGGUGAAUGGAGUGUAUAAAAUCAUUUUUAAGGUGCUAGCCAACCGUUUGAGCAGGGUGAUGGAGAGGAUAAUUUUAAAAUCACAAAACGCCUUUGAGGGGAAGACAGAUUUUAGACUCUGUUUUAAUUGCAAAUGAAUGCUUGGAGAGUAGAAUUAAAAUGGAGAAAGCUGGUGUUUUAAUCAAAUUGGGCAUGGAAAAGGCUUAUGACCAUGUGUGCUGGGAUUUCCUUGAUUAUUUGCUGAGGAGAUAUGGUUUUGGUGAUAAAUGGUGUUCGUGGAUGAAACAUUGUGUGUCGACUUCGAAAUUUUCUAUUUUGGUGAAUGGAGAACCGGUUGGUUUCUUUAGUAGCUCACGUGGUUUGAGGCAAGGUGAUCCCAUCUCUGCCUUUCUUUUUGUUAUGAUUAUGGAUGCCUUGAGUAGAAUGAUUGAGAAGGCCGUGGAUGGUAAUUUUCUGUUCAGCUUUAUGGUGGGAAAUGAGGUACGGAGUAGUUUAAAGGUCUCACACUUAUUAUUUGCUAAUGAUACUUUGAUUUUUAGUGAGCCCGAUUCUAACAAUCUGCGUGUUUUAAGAGCACUUUUGCUGUGUUUUGAACUGUUUCGGGGUUAAGAGUUAAUUUAUCGAAAUCUGAAGUCAUUCCUGUGGGUUCUGUUCAGAAUAUUUCAGACUUGGCAAAUAUUCUGGGGUGCAGAAUUUCUUCACUCCCUAUGAGGUACCUUGGGCUUCCUUUGGGGGCUUCUUUUAAAUCUGUUAAUAUUUGGGAUGGAGUGAUUGAGAAAAUGGAAAGGAGGUUAGCUGGUUGGAAAAUGAUCUACUUGUCUAAGGGUGAAGAUUAACUCUAAUAAAAAGUACUUUGUCUAACCUUCCCACUUAUUUCUUAUCUAUUUUUCCAUUGCCAGCAAGGGUUGAAAGAAGAAUUGAGAGUUUAUUGCGGAAUUUUUUAUGGGGUGGUAAAGGAGUUGAAAAAAAGUUCUAUUUGGUUAGUUGGGAGAAGGUUUAUCAACCGAUUGAUUGUGGUGGGUUGGGGAUAAAAAAUUUAAGAGUGAUAGAGCAUUACUUGGGAAAUGGCUUUGGAGAUAUCACUUGGAAAGUAAUGCCUUUUGGAAAAAUGUUAUUGAUGUAAAAUAUGGUAGUUUGUGGGGAGGUUGGUGUUCUAAAGAUACUAGCGGUGCGUAUGGGGUGAGUUUGUGGAAGUUCAUUA
Juglans microcarpa x Juglans regia is the source of this 2991-nucleotide long non-coding RNA. RefSeq lists it as uncharacterized. The record is from RefSeq and is a predicted model, not a curated record. The transcript is spliced from 2 exons. Lineage: Eukaryota; Viridiplantae; Streptophyta; Magnoliopsida; Fagales; Juglandaceae.